CUAGUCAGCAGCCGGUCGAGUCAAGCUCAUAAAUUGUUCAAGGGAAAACAAUCGCGUCCCUGCAGUGCAAAGUGUCGCAGAAUAUGUAAAAUAAGCUUUUAUUCGAAACCGUGUUCUUGUGUUUUCUGUACCUCGAACCCGGGAACAACUUGAGCAACUGGUGAACAGCGAUUUUCAUUGACGGGACCGUCUCUGAAUGCUGUUCCGAUUAGUGACGUACGAAGAUAGACGUAUCUUUAACUAAAUAGAUUUGACCCGCCGAGAAUGAGUACGAACAAUAAGCAGGCUCUCUUCGCGUGCUCUAGGUGUUUCUCCAGACACCCUUUCGAGGAGCUAUCGUCCGGGCAACAGCUGUGCAAGGAAUGCAGAGGCGCAUUCCCUGUCGUAAAGUGUACCUACUGUAGAUCAGAAUUUCAGCAGACAAUAAAGGGUAACACUAGUACGAUAUGUAAAAAGUGUGAACAGAAUGUUAAGGCCUAUGGAAAGCCAUCAGCAUGCGAGUACUGCAAUACUAUUGCAGCAUUUAUUGGCAGCAAAUGUCAAAGAUGCACAAACUCGGAGAAACGUUAUGGGCCACCAGUGACCUGUGAACAGUGUAAACAGAAGUGUGCAUUCGACAGACAGGAUGAGGAUAAGAAGGUUGACGGCAAACUGCUGUGCUGGCUAUGCACGUUGUCAUACAAACGAGCUCUAGCCAAAACGAAACAAUCGGAUGCCGAAAGAAGGGCUCAUUUGAAACUGGCACAGCAACGCGCGGCGAAGCACAAGGAACAAAAAUUAAAAGGUCACAAUAAACGACCGCAAAGGGUGGACGUAACCAAGUUGCCACCACAAACCGAAUCCAAUGAAUCCAACGGACCUACUCCGGUCAAGGUGGCUCGAAUGGCAGGAGUCCAUGACCCCGACCCUAACAGUUCGGACCAUGUGGUCGCUGUCACACAACUCAAGGAGAAGAUCGCCCAUCUUCAGAAGCAGAUAUCCCUUAAAGAUGGACAACUUUUAUCAAAAGACAGACAGAUAACCGAAUUGAAGGCGAAAAAUUUCACGGCCGAGACAGAAUUACGUAAUAAAAUGAAGACUAGCGAGAAAGAGUAUGAGAACAAGAUCUCAAAUAUGCAACAUAAGAUCUCGAGUCUACUUAAGGAGGUAGCUUCCUUAUCAAAGAGUACGAAACGUGGCGACAGGGUCGCCGCUACCAAGAGCGAAGCAGGGACCAAUAGUGGGAGUGGAACCGACAGUCCUGUACCUUGAUAAGGUUCACCUUAAGGGCUAGAUUUCUCCUUUAUAUCGCCAUUUCCUUUCGUUACUCGCUACUGCGAUUCACGCGGCCAAGGCUGAGGAUCGAGACUCCUUGGGGAAUAAUUUGCGAUCCUUCGAGUAACAUUUCCAGAGAAUGAGAGUACGACGCAACGUCCGUGCAAACCCGAAAAUGCUUCCCGAGCGAGACAGUUGAAUGUGGAUCAAUAGUCGUUCUACCACAACAUGCAAUAAACACUUCUUCUUCCAAUAGUUAUUAAUUCUGAUUAUUCCGCCAAGCCGCCGAGUCGUUCGCCUUGACCGCCACGUAUACGCAGAUUAAUAUAGAGGGCCAAAAUUCAAG
Molecule: unclassified non-coding RNA, 1600 nt
Filed under: Orussus abietinus
Lineage: Eukaryota; Metazoa; Arthropoda; Insecta; Hymenoptera; Orussidae
Description: protein FAM76A, transcript variant X6
Source: RNAcentral